Molecule: long non-coding RNA, 828 nt
Organism: Oncorhynchus tshawytscha (Chinook salmon)
Lineage: Eukaryota; Metazoa; Chordata; Actinopteri; Salmoniformes; Salmonidae
Source: Ensembl
GGAGUCUUUAGGUACCUAAUGGUCUGAGAGUCUUUAGGUACCUAAUGGUCUGGGAGUCUUUAGGUACCUAAUGGUCUGAGAGUCUUUAGGUACCUAAUGGUCUGGGAGUCUUUAUGUACCUAAUGGUCUGAGAGUCUUUAGGUACCUAAUGGUCUGAGAGUCUUUAGGUACCUCAUGGUCUGAGAGUCUUUAGGUACCUAAUGGUCUGGGAGUCUUUAGGUACCUAAUGGUCUGGGAGUCUUUAGGUACCUAAUGGUCUGGGAGUCUUUAGGUACCUCAUGGUCUGGGAGUCUUUAGGUACCUCAUGGUCUGGGAGUCUUUAGGUACCUAAUGGUCUGGGAGUCUUUAGGUACCUCAUGGUCUGGGAGUCUUUAGGUACCUAACGGUCUGGGAGUCUUUAGGUACCUCAUGGUCUGGGAGUCUUUAGGUACCUCAUGGUCUGAGAGUCUUUAGGUACCUCAUGGUCUGGGAGUCUUUAGGUACCUUUUGGAAAACUCCAAGCGGGCUGUCAUGUGCUUUUUACUGAGGAGUGGCUUCCGUCUGGCCACUCUACCAUAAACUGGUGGAGUGUUGCAGAGAUGGGUUCUUGGUAACCUCCCUGACCAAGGCCCUUCUCCCCCGAUUGCUCAGUUUGGUCAAGGGGUCUGAAUACUUUCCGAAUGCAGUGUACAUUGUGUGUCCCCACAAGGUAAGUUAAACAAGAUGGCGAUUGUGUGUGUUUCCAGUAACAUCCCAAUAACAAAACAGCUUCUGUCUCAAGGUCAUCAGACUGUUAAACAGCCAUCACUAACAGAGUGGCUGCUGCCAACAUACAGACUCAAAUCUCUG